Long non-coding RNA from Planococcus citri (citrus mealybug), 369 nucleotides. RefSeq lists it as uncharacterized. Lineage: Eukaryota; Metazoa; Arthropoda; Insecta; Hemiptera; Pseudococcidae. The transcript is spliced from 3 exons. The record is from RefSeq and is a predicted model, not a curated record.
CUUUUUUCACGCGAAAAACGUAUACCUAAUGCAUCAAAGCAACAAUGUACUUGAAGAUUUUGAGUCAAUAUACUUUGACUUUGAUGAUAUUCGUUUCCGUUCAUACAGAAACAAUUCAUCAGCAUAAAUUUAUACCACCCGAUCAACUCUCCCCAACUAAUAUUGAUACCUCAAAAAUUAUAUCAGUUGAAUCUCCGACACCACUGAUAGCUCGCUUGGAAAAAUACAGUUUUGAAACUGUGAAAAAUACCGGAAAAGCAAUCGCUUUUUAUCCUUUUCCUUUCACCAGAACUCACUUUACAGGAGGAUUACUGGGUAAUAAAACUUAUCGAUUUUAUAGGAAUUUUUUGCGUUUGAAUCAAAAUUCAC